GAUGAACGCUGGCGGCGUGCCUAAUACAUGCAAGUAGAGCGAACGGACGAGAAGUUUCUUCCUCUGAUGUUUGCCGCGGACGGGUGUGUAACGCAUGGAAACCCCCCCUAUAAGACUGGGAUAACUUCGAGACACUGGCGCUUAUCCCGUAUGAUUAUUUGUCCCAUAUCGUUCAAUAGUAAAAGACGGCCUUGCCGUUACUUAUAGAUGCAUCCGCGCUGCAUUAGCUUGUUGGUAAGGUAACGGCUUACCAAGGCAACGAUGCAUAGCCGACCUGAGAGGGUGAUCGGCCACACUGGAACUGAGACACGGUCCAGACUCCUACGGGAGGCAGCAGUAGGGAAUCUUCCGCAAUGGGCGAAAGCCUGACGGAGCAACGCCGCGUGAGUGAUGAAGGUCUUCGGAUCGUAAAACUCUGUUAUUAGGGAAGAACAUAUGUGUAAGUAACUGUGCACAUCUUGACGGUACCUAAUCAGAAAGCCACGGCUAACUACGUG
This 497-nucleotide ribosomal RNA is filed under the name uncultured bacterium. RNAcentral describes it as "partial 16S ribosomal RNA". It matches the Rfam family "Bacterial small subunit ribosomal RNA", at positions 28 to 507 of the family's 1533-position model. The record is from RNAcentral.